UUCAGAGCUGUAUUAGAGCAACCUCGAUUA
This 30-nucleotide non-coding RNA is filed under the name Rattus norvegicus (Norway rat). The record is from RNAcentral. Lineage: Eukaryota; Metazoa; Chordata; Mammalia; Rodentia; Muridae.